This 459-nucleotide ribosomal RNA is filed under the name uncultured bacterium. RNAcentral describes it as "partial 16S ribosomal RNA". It matches the Rfam family "Bacterial small subunit ribosomal RNA", at positions 338 to 795 of the family's 1533-position model. The record is from RNAcentral.
CCUACGGGAGGCAGCAGUGAGGAAUAUUGGUCAAUGGCCGGAAGGCUGAACCAGCCAAGCCGCGUGAAGGACGAAGGUGCCAAGCAUUGUAAACUUCUUUUGUCAAGGGACAAAAUCAGGCUCGAGAGCCUGACCGAGGGUACUUGAAGAAAAAGCAUCGGCUAACUCCGUGCCAGCAGCCGCGGUAAUACGGAGGAUGCGAGCGUUAUCCGGAUUUAUUGGGUUUAAAGGGUGCGUAGGCGGACUGUUAAGUCAGCGGUAAAAGCCCGGGGCUCAACCCCGGCGAGCCGUUGAAACUGGCGUUCUUGAGAUGUCGAGAGGUAUGCGGAAUGCGCAGUGUAGCGGGGAAAGGCUUAGAUAUUGCGCAGAACUCCGAGGGCGAAGGCAGCAUACCGGCGGCGAUCUGACGCUGAGGCACGAGAGCGUGGGUAUCGAACAGGAUUAGAUACCCUAGUAGUC